This is a long non-coding RNA of Mugil cephalus (flathead mullet), 358 nucleotides long. RefSeq lists it as uncharacterized. The transcript has 3 exons. The record is from RefSeq and is a predicted model, not a curated record. Lineage: Eukaryota; Metazoa; Chordata; Actinopteri; Mugiliformes; Mugilidae.
CUGAUGAAGUUCAGCUGUUUACCUUCAGCUCUCGGUCCUCAGGUGAAGAUGUGAAACCAACAACAACAAGUAAAGAAUUGACAACAUCAGUGAAACUAACCUCAUCAGAACAGACAAUCAACAACAAUCCAUCACAUCAACAAGAUAGAAUCUCUCACACGUUUUAAAGUUUAAAUUAAAUUCUUAAAGUUAGAUGGUAUUAAUAUUAUUUCCUGACGAUUGUUGUUUCCAGAUUCUUCUCAUUUGUUGAGAUCCAUCAUUGUGUCUGUGGGUUUAGCAGCACUCUUAAUAUCUGUUGUUACAGUCAAUAUGUGGAUUAAAAAUAAAGAGAACAAGACACAGAUGGAAGAAAACACUG